Molecule: long non-coding RNA, 608 nt
Organism: Cucumis sativus (cucumber)
Lineage: Eukaryota; Viridiplantae; Streptophyta; Magnoliopsida; Cucurbitales; Cucurbitaceae
Exons: 2
Source: RefSeq, a predicted model, not a curated record
GUGUGUGUGAGUUUUACUCAAACUUAUUUUCUAUAAAACAAGUGUUGAACUAUAUAUAAAUUUGAACAAAAAAAAUUGAAAUUGAGAAUAAAAUGAAAUCAAUUGUAAUUUGUUUGAUUGUUCUUAGCUUAUUUGGUGGAGGAUCCACAGCCACAUUGAAAGAUUCCCCUAUGGAUACCAACCAUGUGGUUGAUGCUCGUAAAUUUUGCAGACUUGGUUGUUCCCUUUCUCUCUGCACCAAUCUUUCCACACCAGAAAACUUGAAUAUUGAGAAAGUAGACAGUUGUUUUAAGGGAUGUGAUCAAACGUGCAUGAAGUACUGAUGCUAAAGAACAAAAGAUGAAGUGUCCUGAGAGGAGAAAAGGAACAAGGAUUGGCUUUUCAAGAUAUACCUAUCAUAUAUGAAUAAACAAAAUUCAAUGGUGAAAAUUAAAACCAUUGGCUUAAAAGCAUAUUAUUUCAUAUUUAAGCAUAUGUUUUGUUUCGAUAUAAAUGUAGUUUCAAGUUUUUGCAUGUAGUUGAUUAUGAGCAAUAUGUCAAAAACAUCAAUGUUUCUCCUUUUAAGCAAUACGAGAAUGAAGAGUUAUGUCACAAUUUUUGCCUUAGUA